Molecule: RNA transcript, 3833 nt
Organism: Felis catus (domestic cat)
Lineage: Eukaryota; Metazoa; Chordata; Mammalia; Carnivora; Felidae
Gene name: signal-regulatory protein beta-1-like
Exons: 6
Source: RefSeq, a predicted model, not a curated record
UCCUCUCUACAGAACAGAGGCCCAUUCUACCCAGCACACACAUUUGCACAGAGCAGGGUCCCCAGGCCUCCGCAAUGUUGGCCCCUGCCUCCGGGCCCCACCUGCCUCCUUACCUGCUGCUGGCUCUGCUGUUGGGACUCACAGGUGUGGCAGGUGAGGCGGAGCUGCAGGUGAUCCAGCCGGAGAAGCUGGUGUCUGUCACAGCCGGAGAGACAGCCACUCUGCACUGCACCCUGACCUCCCUGGUCCCCGUUGGGAAAAUCAGGUGGUUCAGGGGGACGGGGCCAGACCGGGAGUUAAUCUUCAGUUUCGGAGGAGGCCACUUUCCCCGCGUAACAAAUGUUUCAGACACCACAAGAAGAAACAACAUGGACUUUUCCAUCCGCAUCAGUAACAUCACCCCAGCAGACGCUGGAACCUACUACUGUGUGAAGUUCCAGAAAGGGGCCCCUGAGGUGGAGUUUAAGUCUGGACCAGGCACCCAGGUCACCGUGAGCGCCAAACCCUCUCCCCCCGUGGUGUCGGGCCCCACGGCCAGGGCCACACCUGAGCAGACUGUGAGCUUCACCUGCGAGUCCCACGGCUUCUCCCCCAGAAACGUCACCCUGAAAUGGUUCAAAAACGGGAAGGAGCUGGCAGCCUCCCAGACCACCGUGGACCCAGAGGGAGACAGCGCUUCCUACAGCAUCUCCAGCACAACCACGCUGCCGCUGGCCCCGGGGGACGUUCGCUCCCAGGUCAUCUGCGAGGUGGCCCACGUGACCCUGCAGGGGGGCCCUCCUCUUCGUGGGACUGCCAACUUGUCCGAGACCCUCCGAGUUCCACCCACCUUGGAGGUUGCCCAGCAACCCAUGACAGGGAACCAGGUGAAGGUCAUUUGCCAAGUGAAGAAGUUCUACCCCCAGCGCCUACAGCUGACCUGGUUGGAGAACGGACACGUGUCCCGAACAGAAACGGCCUCGACGGCCUCGAACCUCAUAGAGAACAAGGAUGGGACCUUUAACUGGACGAGCUGGCUCCUGGUGAAUUUAUCCGCCCACAGGGAAGAUGUGGUUUUCACCUGCCAGGUGCAGCAAGACGGGCAGCCCGAGGUCACCAAAACCCAUACCCUUGUGGUCUCUGCCCACCAGAAGGACCAGGAAGCCCAUACGACCCACGAUCUAGAACUGUCCACUCCACUCCUGGUGGCUCUCUACCUGGGUCCCAAGCUGCUACUGCUGCUCGUCACUGUCUCAGUCAUCUAUGUCCACAGGAAGUAAUGGAUUGGCUGUGAGUUAUGGACAAGGAAGACAGGGCAAGGUCAGUCCAAGAAAGAGCCAGAUCAGCAAGAGGGGCAGCCCACAGGUCAUACAGGGUCACUGCCCACUUGGAGUAAAGAGCAGGUGUCCCAGGAGGAAAAUAGCACCCAGGACAAAGGAGACACGUGGAGAACAUUUCUGGAAUGAUGCGCAGAUAAUGAAAUGUGAACAUGGGUCCACAGCUCCUUCCUUCCUCCCCUGCCACAUGCCAUCCUCGGUCUCUGCUGCCUCCUUCCUUCCCUGAGGGGCCCAGCCUAAGACAAGGAACAACUAGAAGCUUCCACAAAUCUGCCCCAAAUGUUGGCUUCCCCAGAGACCCACCUGCCCACAGUUCCUGCCACUCCUCUCCCAGUCCUUGAUGCCCCCAGAGCUGGUCUUCAUACCUGGUCCUGAGCAGGGCAAUAGAAUGUCUCUGGAGACUGACACAUGGAUAUCCUACUAGAAUGUGAGAAACAAGUCACAUGUACGCACACCAGGCUAUCUCGUAUCCUUCUCCUGGGGACCAUGGUCAUGAAGUACACACUCAAGUCCAUGUUCUCACAGGUUAUUCCUGCCAACCCUCAGACUCCUAAGCCUUGGUGAGUUCUCCAAUGUCUCUCGAAUACAAAUGAAUCCCAUCCUGGUUGGAAGAAGAGAAGGGAUUUUCCUCCCUCUUUGCCUACAUGUCCUUCUACUCAGACCCACAGAGGAAUAUCUCUUCCUCUCCCUGUGAUGGGAACACUACCUCUUCUGUCACCUUCAUCCUUCCCGACCUCGUUGCUCAUGUACACGUGCUGGCAGUCCAGAAACCUGGACCCUUCCCUGAUUUCCUUCUUCGUAUCCCGUGUUCAAUUCUGCCUUCAUAAAGCUAUGUGCAGUGGUGACAUGGUAAAUGUUCAACAAUCCACUUCUCAGGAGGAAAAAGAAGACCGAUUUGUAGUGCUUGUCCACUUCGGUGGUGUCUACACUCCCAACGUGGCCAAUUUCAAGCUGCCAACAGUGGAACAACUAGCUUGCAAAAUUCCUGGAAAGCUCUCAGGAGCGAGGGCAAGCCUCCUCCCGCCCACCAGGGAGCUCCACCCAACACCUGCACACUGCUCGCUCCCGGGCUGCCCCCUGGUCCCGGCCACCAGCAUCCCUUCCUGGACCAUUGCCGCGUCCCUAACAGACUCUCCGGGUUCCGCCACAGUGACCCUUUGGAAAUGGAGGUCAAAUUGUCUCCCUUCUGUGCUUCUUCCCCCUACAGAUGUGCAUGGCUCGGUCUCUCCCCUUUCAAGCUCUGCUGAUAUGUCUCUUUAUGAAAAGCACCUUCCAAAAACCACCCCAUGUAAAAUAUCAAUUCCACUCUCUCACUCUGCAUUCCCACAGCUCAUACCUGAAUUGAACUACUUCCCUAGAACUUAAGAUCAGCCAACUUGAUAAAUGGAAACAGUGCUCACUUUGCACAGUGAUGCAGGACCAAAACAAUGACGGUGCAGCUGAAACCAUGAAAAGUGAUGCCAGUAAUCAGUGGGAAAAGUAAUGAUUUUUCUGUGACCUUUAGAAACCUUUUUCAACAUCUCAGAAACCCUCCAACAGUCAGUUAUGAAUGUAUCGGGACAUAAAAAAAAACAGUAAAACUAUUAUUCACUUGGUAUAUGGGCUUUUGAAACAUUAGAAACGUUGAAAAGAGAAGAGUUUUAUUUGUUUGCAAAGACUUAUCAAGAGUAGUUUGCAGAGGGCCUGCCUUCCUCUGAUGGCACAGUUUACAAUAGAGAGCAAGUGUCUGGAUUAUCUCCCUCCUUUCUCACUUGGGAUCAGCUUCCAACACUCCAUCCUUGGCACUUCCGAUGCUGUGAAAUCUUUACAACAUUAAUGUGAAUAUUUGCUGGCAUCACUUCCUCCGGGACAUUGUCACCCUACCUUCCUCCCCCACUUUCCUCAGCGACGUGGUAAGUUUAUCCUCACUCUCCUCCUCUGGCUGCAUAUCUGGAUGCUUGGGAACAGUAUCCCGGGCCGCAUUCCCAUGAAGGUCUCUGUGCCUUCAUGAACCCCACUCCCAUUGAGUUUGACCUUUACCUCCAGCUUCUUCUCUUCUCGUUUUUCCUGUACCCCUUCAGCUUUAUGCCCAUUCCCUUCUGCCAUUUUUUUCACCUUUGUAUGUUAUGCAGGUUCAUCGGGGGGGAGACCAGGAGACCACACAACCAUCUGCUUUGCUAUUGUGGGAAGUGCAUCUCACAACCCUAAUUAUCCUUGCACCCUGAUCUCAGAUUUUCAUGCCCAGAACUGUGAGAAAUUAGUUCCUGUUGUACAAGGCAUCCAGUUUAUGGUGUUUUCUUAUAGUAGCCCAAGUCAAGACAAAAUCUAAAUAAAUUAUGGACUUUGCUAAAUAAUAAUGUACCAACAUGGGUUCAUUAAAUUAUAGUAGAUGUACCAUACUACUGUAAGACGUCAAUAAGAUGGGAAGCUGUGUGCAGCUGUAUAUUGGAACUCUGUAUGAUUGUCCCAAGUUUUUUCUAAAUGUAAAACUGUUACACAAAUUAAGGCCAUUAAAAAAAAGUCAACAUCUUGUCCUCA